AUUGCUCUCUUUCAUGAAGAGGUUUCAACUUAUUUUAGAUCUUGUUUUUCUCUUUAUUUUCUCCUUCUAUAGUUUUUUUUUCCCUUAUUCAUGCAUUCCUUGCUCAGUAGUUACUUUUAUGCAUGACUAAUUCAUGGGAAUUGGUUUUCUUAUCGGAAGCCCUAUUGGCCAAAUUCUUAUGAACCUCGACUAUUUGCAUAUGAAUCAUAUUCUUCAUCUAGAGUGUCAAGUUUCAUUACACAUUUGUUCUUGUGUACUUGGCCAAGGUGAUGACUGUUUGGACUUGCCAAGAUGUUGACUUCAGAUAAUCUUGCUUGCGAUGCACAAUGUCUUGAAGCUAUCUAUAUCAAAUAUAUCUUAAUUCAGGAGGAUUGGUAGCUGUAUGUGUCCCAAUCUGAUAUACCUUGUAGUUCCAAAUCAGAUAUGGUCUUUGGG
Rosa rugosa (rugosa rose) is the source of this 435-nucleotide long non-coding RNA. RefSeq lists it as uncharacterized. The record is from RefSeq and is a predicted model, not a curated record. NCBI's taxonomy places the organism in Eukaryota, Viridiplantae, Streptophyta, Magnoliopsida, Rosales, Rosaceae. The transcript is spliced from 2 exons.